GACGAACGCUGGCGGCGUGCUUAACACAUGCAAGUCGAACGGAAAGGCCCUGCUUUUGUGGGUUGCUCGAGUGGCGAACGGGUGAGUAACACGUGAGUAACCUGCCCUUGACUUUGGGAUAACUUCAGGAAACUGGGGCUAAUACCGGAUAGGAGCUCCUGCUGCACGGUGGGGGAUGGAAAGUUUCGGCGGUUGGGGAUGGACUGGCGGCUUAUCAGCUUGUUGGUGGGGUAGUGGUAUGCCAAGGCUUUGACGGGUAGCCGGCCUGGGAGGGGUGCCGGCGACAAUGGGCCUGAGAGAGGGCGCAGAAGGGUACGGGACGCAGCAGUCGGGAGCAUUGCGCAAUGGGCGGACGCCUGAUAUGACGACGCCGCGUGCGGGAUGAUGGGUUACGAGUUAAGAACAGCUGUCGCCUGAGCUGUGGCGUGAGUGACGGUAAUGGAUCAAAAAGCACCGGCUAACUACGUG
Molecule: ribosomal RNA, 468 nt
Filed under: uncultured bacterium
Lineage: Bacteria
Description: partial 16S ribosomal RNA
Rfam family: Bacterial small subunit ribosomal RNA
Source: RNAcentral